UCUUGGCCGGUGUGGAAGACUAGUGAUUUUGUUGUUGUAAAUAUGUGCUCUGACAACAAGUCACAGUCUACCUCACUGAGUAAGGUCCAGU
Molecule: microRNA precursor, 91 nt
Organism: Lepisosteus oculatus (spotted gar)
Lineage: Eukaryota; Metazoa; Chordata; Actinopteri; Semionotiformes; Lepisosteidae
Source: Ensembl